This 26-nucleotide non-coding RNA is filed under the name Mus musculus (house mouse). The record is from RNAcentral. Lineage: Eukaryota; Metazoa; Chordata; Mammalia; Rodentia; Muridae.
ACCCAAAAAUGACUGUGCUUCUGGGU